Molecule: small nuclear RNA, 122 nt
Filed under: Marchantia polymorpha subsp. ruderalis
Lineage: Eukaryota; Viridiplantae; Streptophyta; Marchantiopsida; Marchantiales; Marchantiaceae
Description: U4 spliceosomal RNA
Rfam family: U4 spliceosomal RNA
About the family: U4 small nuclear RNA (U4 snRNA) is a component of the major U2-dependent spliceosome. The structure of U4 snRNA from yeast and human has been reported.
Source: Rfam by way of RNAcentral
AUUCAUGCGCUUGGGGCAAUGACGCAGUUAGUGAGGUGAAACCGAGACGCGUCAAUUGCUGGUUGAAAACUAUUUCCUAUUUCCAUGCAAUAUUUGUUUGUAAAUUUUCAACAACAAUUUGU